GACGAACGCUGGCGGCGUGCCUAAUACAUGCAAGUAGAACGCUGAAGAGAAGAGCUUGCUCUUCUUGGAUGAGUUGCGAACGGGUGAGUAACGCGUAGGUAACCUGCCUGGUAGCGGGGGAUAACUAUUGGAAACGAUAGCUAAUACCGCAUAAAAUUGAUUAUUGCAUGAUAAUUAAUUGAAAGAUGCAAUUGCAUCACUACCAGAUGGACCUGCGUUGUAUUAGCUAGUUGGUGAGGUAACGGCUCACCAAGGCGACGAUACAUAGCCGACCUGAGAGGGUGAUCGGCCACACUGGGACUGAGACACGGCCCAGACUCCUACGGGAGGCAGCAGUAGGGAAUCUUCGGCAAUGGGGGGAACCCUGACCGAGCAACGCCGCGUGAGUGAAGAAGGUUUUCGGAUCGUAAAGCUCUGUUGUAAGAGAAGAACGGGUGUGAGAGUGGAAAGUUCACACUGUGACGGAUCUACC
Molecule: ribosomal RNA, 472 nt
Filed under: Streptococcus sanguinis
Lineage: Bacteria; Bacillati; Bacillota; Bacilli; Lactobacillales; Streptococcaceae
Description: bacterial SSU rRNA
Rfam family: Bacterial small subunit ribosomal RNA
Source: RNAcentral